This 121-nucleotide ribosomal RNA is filed under the name Methanoculleus sp. The record is from RNAcentral. Lineage: Archaea; Methanobacteriati; Methanobacteriota; Methanomicrobia; Methanomicrobiales; Methanomicrobiaceae.
AACUGCGGCCAUAGCAGGGGGGUACACCCGGACCCAUCCCGAACCCGGAAGUUAAGUCCUCUCACGUAGUAUGCUCUACUGAGGUGCGCGAGCCCUCGGGAACCAUACCUCGCUGCAGUUU